CUUAGUACGGCGAGUGAGCGGUAAAAGCUCAAAUUUGAAAUCUGGUACUUUCAGUGCCCGAGUUGAAAUUUGUAGAAUUUGUCUUUGAUUAGGUCCUUGUCUAUGUUCCUUGGAACAGGACGUCAUAGAGGGUGAGAAUCCCGUUUGGCGAGGAUACCUUUUCUCUGUAAGACUUUUUCGAAGAGUCGAGUUGUUUGGGAAUGCAGCUCAAAGUGGGUGGUAAAUUCCAUCUAAAGCUAAAUAUUGGCGAGAGACCGAUAGCGAACAAGUACAGUGAUGGAAAGAUGAAAAGAACUUUGAAAAGAGAGUGAAAAAGUACGUGAAAUUGUUGAAAGGGAAGGGCAUUUGAUCAGACAUGGUGUUUUUUGCAUGCACUCGCCUCUCGUGGGCUUGGGCCUCUCAAAAAUUUCACUGGGCCAACAUCAAUUCUGGCAGCAGGAUAAAUCAUUAAGAAUGUAGCUACUUCGGUAGUGUUAUAGCUUUUUGGAAUACUGUUAGCCGGGAUUGAGGACUGCGCUUCGGCAAGGAUGUUGGCAUAAUGGUUAAAUGCCGCCCGUCUUGAAACACGGACCAU
Molecule: ribosomal RNA, 574 nt
Filed under: Hanseniaspora uvarum
Lineage: Eukaryota; Fungi; Ascomycota; Saccharomycetes; Saccharomycodales; Saccharomycodaceae
Description: LSU rRNA
Rfam family: Eukaryotic large subunit ribosomal RNA
Source: RNAcentral